GUGUCAGCAGCCGCGGUAAAACGUAGGUGGCAAGCGUUAUCCGGAUUUACUGGGCGUAAAGGGUGUGCAGGCGGCCUUUCAAGUGGUGUAUGAAAUAUCCCGGCUCAACCGGGAGGGGUUAUGCCAGACUGAAGGGCUUGAGGGCGAGAGAGGGAGGCGGAAUUCCGGGUGUAGUGGUGAAAUGCGUAGAGAUCCGGAGGAACCCCAGAGGCGAAGGCGGCCUCCUGGCUCGCCCCUGACGCUCAGACACGACAGCAUGGGGAGCGAACGGGAUUAGAAACCCCCGUAGUCC
This 292-nucleotide ribosomal RNA is filed under the name uncultured bacterium. Its description in RNAcentral is "partial 16S ribosomal RNA". It matches the Rfam family "Bacterial small subunit ribosomal RNA", at positions 505 to 796 of the family's 1533-position model. The record is from RNAcentral.